Molecule: ribosomal RNA, 709 nt
Filed under: uncultured Serratia sp.
Lineage: Bacteria; Pseudomonadati; Pseudomonadota; Gammaproteobacteria; Enterobacterales; Yersiniaceae
Description: bacterial SSU rRNA
Rfam family: Bacterial small subunit ribosomal RNA
Source: RNAcentral
GCGAACGGGAUUAGAUACCCUGGUAGUCCACGCUGUAAACGAUGUCGAUUUGGAGGUUGUGCCCUUGAGGCGUGGCUUCCGGAGCUAACGCGUUAAAUCGACCGCCUGGGGAGUACGGCCGCAAGGUUAAAACUCAAAUGAAUUGACGGGGGCCCGCACAAGCGGUGGAGCAUGUGGUUUAAUUCGAUGCAACGCGAAGAACCUUACCUACUCUUGACAUCCAGAGAACUUUCCAGAGAUGGAUUGGUGCCUUCGGGAACUCUGAGACAGGUGCUGCAUGGCUGUCGUCAGCUCGUGUUGUGAAAUGUUGGGUUAAGUCCCGCAACGAGCGCAACCCUUAUCCUUUGUUGCCAGCGGUUCGGCCGGGAACUCAAAGGAGACUGCCAGUGAUAAACUGGAGGAAGGUGGGGAUGACGUCAAGUCAUCAUGGCCCUUACGAGUAGGGCUACACACGUGCUACAAUGGCAUAUACAAAGAGAAGCGACCUCGCGAGAGCAAGCGGACCUCAUAAAGUAUGUCGUAGUCCGGAUUGGAGUCUGCAACUCGACUCCAUGAAGUCGGAAUCGCUAGUAAUCGUAGAUCAGAAUGCUACGGUGAAUACGUUCCCGGGCCUUGUACACACCGCCCGUCACACCAUGGGAGUGGGUUGCAAAAGAAGUAGGUAGCUUAACCUUCGGGAGGGCGCUUACCACUUUGUGAUUCAUGACUG